Molecule: long non-coding RNA, 1250 nt
Organism: Astatotilapia calliptera (eastern happy)
Lineage: Eukaryota; Metazoa; Chordata; Actinopteri; Cichliformes; Cichlidae
Source: Ensembl
GUUGUGUUCAUUAUCAGUUAGAGCCCCUCCUCAUUCUUUUCUUCUUCUUUGGUGCAAUACUAUAAAUACAGUGUACCCCUUUUGCCUCUCCCCUUUUUCUACAAUUCCCCUGUGGGAGAGGUGGGUGUCAUUUCUUUCCAGCACCUUAAAGCACACAUAAUUCAUAUUUAACCACCCUGAUGUUUAUGAUUGCGAUUUUAAUUCAGUUAUUGUCAUUAUUGAGCCUGUUUUUGUAAGAUGUUAUAAGUGUGUAGUAUGUGUGUGUCAUAAAUGUGUUUUAGGCGCCAUAAAUGAUAGCAUGAAUAUGUAUUCCUUGCUAGCUUGGGAGCUGUGGUGGGUUGAGCUAAUCCUCUUCCCCACUGUCUGUAUUUGGUCGUAGGAGCUGGAGUGGGCAAAUUAUUUACUUGGAGGUCUUUCUUUCUUUUACCUUUUUUAUCAGACACAACGCAGAAUCACACCGGUUACACUUGGUGCCGCUGACCCGUCACAUCGCCAAUCCGCGAUCCACCCCUCCUCCUUCUGCUGCCGCUGUUUUCCCGCCUCCUCUCUGCAGCUGUGUGCCAGAAUCCUGUGCCCUGCGCUUUGACUCACAGGUCAAAGCGCAGGGCACAGGAUUCUGUGUGAUCCUGUGUGAUCGAUGCCCCGUAAUUUGGCUUGCAGGCAUCUCUGUCACGUGUGAACUUAAAGGGCAAAUACGUAGGUGAUCAUUUCUGUCACUGUUUCAUAUUGUUGCCUCAAAUUAUACAGGCACGGAUUGUAAUUUUUUUUCUCUAUUGAUAUUGGCUUUUACAGCCUGUUUUAAUUGAGAGGAGAAAACAACAUUUUAUUUUCUAUGGUGUUUUGAUUCUUUGAUGUUUUUUUUUCUUCUCCCCACAUUUCAUUGUUUUGUGAAGUUUUGCAUAAUUGUGUGUGGGGGUUAGGCUCGUUUUUUUUUUUGCUGUUGAACAGUGAUAUCUCACUUGGGCCAACAUGUUAAGUGAGGAAACUGUGGAUAGCGAUUUGCCUGAUCUGUUCUCUGCGGGGAGUAAUAUGACCUUUGGUUUGGGGAGGGGUCAUCAGAUUGCUCCAAAGUUUUUUGGGAGGGGUAGGCCAGUAGUCCCGGGUAUUGGUGCCCACACUGUAGACCAGCCAGUGAUGCACUCACCAUUAAUGCCAGCAGCUAGCUCCACACCAGCUGCUUGCGAACGCCAAACACACACCCAGGCUGUCACUAGUGACAUGUUGAGCAGCUUGAUCACUGACUUAGCAAA